AACGAACGCUGGCGGCAUGCCUAACACAUGCAAGUCGAACGAGACCUUCGGGUCUAGUUUCGCAAGGGUGCGUAACGCGUGGGAACCUGCCCUUAGGUUCGGAAUAACUCCCCGGAAGGGGUGCUAAUACCGGAUAAUGUCUUCCGACCAAAGAUUUAUCGCCUUUGGAUGGGCCCGCGUUGGAUUAGCUAGUUGGUAGGGUAAAAGCCUACCAAGGCGACGAUCCAUAGCUGGUCUGAGAGGAUGAUCAGCCACACUGGGACUGAGACACGGCCCAGACUCCUACGGGAGGCAGCAGUGGGGAAUAUUGGACAAUGGGCGAAAGCCUGAUCCAGCAAUGCCGCGUGAGUGAUGAAGGUUUUAGGGUUGUAAAGCUCUUUUACCCGGGAUGAUAAUGACAGUACCGGGAGAAUAAGCUCCGGCUAACUCCGUG
RNAcentral lists this ribosomal RNA (433 nucleotides) under uncultured bacterium. RNAcentral describes it as "partial 16S ribosomal RNA". It matches the Rfam family "Bacterial small subunit ribosomal RNA", at positions 29 to 507 of the family's 1533-position model. The record is from RNAcentral.